This 225-nucleotide ribosomal RNA is filed under the name uncultured bacterium. RNAcentral describes it as "partial 16S ribosomal RNA". It matches the Rfam family "Bacterial small subunit ribosomal RNA", at positions 524 to 742 of the family's 1533-position model. The record is from RNAcentral.
UACGAAGGGGGCUAGCGUUGCUCGGAAUUACUGGGCGUAAAGCGCACGUAGGCGGCUUCUUAAGUCGGUGGUGAAAUCCUGGAGCUCAACUCCAGAACUGCCUUCGAUACUGGGAGCUCGAGUCCGGGAGAGGUGAGUGGGAACUGCGGAGUUGUAGAGGUGAAAUUCGUAGAUAUUCGCAAGAACACCAGUGGCGAAGGGCGGACUCGCCUGGCCCGGUACGUG